This 253-nucleotide ribosomal RNA is filed under the name uncultured bacterium. Its description in RNAcentral is "partial 16S ribosomal RNA". It matches the Rfam family "Bacterial small subunit ribosomal RNA", at positions 524 to 776 of the family's 1533-position model. The record is from RNAcentral.
UACGAAGGGGGCUAGCGUUGUUCGGAAUUACUGGGCGUAAAGCGCACGUAGGCGGAUCGAUCAGUCAGGGGUGAAAUCCCAGAGCUCAACUCUGGAACUGCCUUUGAUACUGUCGAUCUGGAGUAUGGAAGAGGUGAGUGGAAUUCCGAGUGUAGAGGUGAAAUUCGUAGAUAUCGGGAGGAACACCAGUGGCGAAGGCGGCGACCUGGGCCAAUAUUGACGCUGAGGUGCGAAAGCGUGGGGAGCAAACAGG